RNAcentral lists this ribosomal RNA (569 nucleotides) under Clostridioides difficile. Its description in RNAcentral is "bacterial SSU rRNA". It matches the Rfam family "Bacterial small subunit ribosomal RNA", at positions 974 to 1533 of the family's 1533-position model. Lineage: Bacteria; Bacillati; Bacillota; Clostridia; Peptostreptococcales; Peptostreptococcaceae. The record is from RNAcentral.
CCUAAGCUUGACAUCCCAAUGACAUCUCCUUAAUCGGAGAGUUCCCUUCGGGGACAUUGGUGACAGGUGGUGCAUGGUUGUCGUCAGCUCGUGUCGUGAGAUGUUGGGUUAAGUCCCGCAACGAGCGCAACCCUUGUCUUUAGUUGCCAUCAUUAAGUUGGGCACUCUAGAGAGACUGCCAGGGAUAACCGGGAGGAAGGUGGGGAUGACGUCAAAUCAUCAUGCCCCUUAUGCUUAGGGCUACACACGUGCUACAAUGGGUAGUACAGAGGGUUGCCAAGCCGUAAGGUGGAGCUAAUCCCUUAAAGCUACUCUCAGUUCGGAUUGUAGGCUGAAACUCGCCUACAUGAAGCUGGAGUUACUAGUAAUCGCAGAUCAGAAUGCUGCGGUGAAUGCGUUCCCGGGUCUUGUACACACCGCCCGUCACACCACGGGAGUUGGAGACGCCCGAAGCCGAUUAUCUAACCUUUUGGAAGAAGUCGUCGAAGGUGGAAUCAAUAACUGGGGUGAAGUCGUAACAAGGUAGCCGUAUCGGAAGGUGCGGCUGGAUCACCUCCUUUCUAAGGAGA